This 87-nucleotide transfer RNA is filed under the name Polyangiaceae bacterium. RNAcentral's name for it is "tRNA-Ser". It matches the Rfam family "tRNA". From Rfam's summary of the family: Transfer RNA (tRNA) molecules are approximately 80 nucleotides in length. Their secondary structure includes four short double-helical elements and three loops (D, anti-codon, and T loops). Further hydrogen bonds mediate the characteristic L-shaped molecular structure. tRNAs have two regions of fundamental functional importance: the anti-codon, which is responsible for specific mRNA codon recognition, and the 3' end, to which the tRNAs corresponding amino acid is attached (by aminoacyl-tRNA synthetases). tRNAs cope with the degeneracy of the genetic code in two manners: having more than one tRNA (with a specific anti-codon) for a particular amino acid; and 'wobble' base-pairing, i.e. permitting non-standard base-pairing at the 3rd anti-codon position. Lineage: Bacteria; Pseudomonadati; Myxococcota; Polyangiales; Polyangiaceae. The record is from RNAcentral.
GGAGGAGUGGCCGAGUGGUCUAAGGCAGCGGUUUUGAAAACCGCCGGCGGCGCAAGUCGCCCAGGGGUUCGACUCCCUUCUCCUCCG